AGGGGCAUAGUACAACGGCUAGUAUAUGGGUCUCCAAAACCUAAGAUCGAAGUUCGAUUCUUCGUGCCCCUGCCA
RNAcentral lists this transfer RNA (75 nucleotides) under Candidatus Saccharimonadota bacterium. RNAcentral describes it as "tRNA-Trp". It matches the Rfam family "tRNA". From Rfam's summary of the family: Transfer RNA (tRNA) molecules are approximately 80 nucleotides in length. Their secondary structure includes four short double-helical elements and three loops (D, anti-codon, and T loops). Lineage: Bacteria; Candidatus Saccharimonadota. The record is from RNAcentral.